RNAcentral lists this transfer RNA (64 nucleotides) under Pyrrhalta aenescens. RNAcentral describes it as "tRNA-His". The record is from RNAcentral. Lineage: Eukaryota; Metazoa; Arthropoda; Insecta; Coleoptera; Chrysomelidae.
AUCUAAAUAGUUUAAUAAAAAUAUUAGUUUGUGGUACUAAAGUUAUAAAAUGUUAUUUUAGAUU